RNAcentral lists this long non-coding RNA (645 nucleotides) under Malus domestica (apple). Its description in RNAcentral is "long non-coding RNA (MDOM_LNC010415)". Lineage: Eukaryota; Viridiplantae; Streptophyta; Magnoliopsida; Rosales; Rosaceae. The record is from RNAcentral.
UUAAUUCCAUUUCAUCUGAUAUUUGAAGAGGUGUCAGCUGGCUUGUACUUGGCUGCAUCAGUUUUGGCUGCUAGUUUUAUUGGAUUUAUUUCCUUCAAUGCAGUUACAAACUGCUCAGCGUCUUGGAAACCUUUCAAUGUUAAAACGGCCAUAACGUCUUCUAGAAAAAAGAUAUUAACAAUCCGUGAAAUGAUCCAGAAAAUUGACAUCCGUAGCUUUCCAAGCAUAUAAGGCUCAUUCUCUAAUUCAUUUUGAACUGUUCACAACUUGCUUCCAAAGUCAGCUGACCUGCACAGGCAGUUUUGACGAAUUUGUUACUUAAAAUCCCACUUGUGCUAUUUUUCUUUUACUUGCUUGACAAAUCCUACAAAACACAAAAACAAAGUAAAUAGCUCAAAAAUAUAAGGAACUAACUAAGAAAAGACAAGUGAAUUUGAUGUAAAAUAUAUAUAAAUAUGAGCUUAUCAGAGGUCCACAUACUUGACCUUAGUUGCAACAUGUUCGACCUUUACUAGUUCAUCACGCUACAUGUAGCCACACGUGUACAUGGGAGUCGUUUUGAAGCAUUAUGUUGAGUGUAUUCAUCCAUUGUUAAGUGAUAGGAGCAUAUUUAUGCGACUUAGUUAGCCUGUUUCUUGGUAUUUA